GUCAGUGCCAGCUGGAAAGAGGGUUGGAAGCUCAAGCUCCGAGCCGGGGAUCGGCCCCAAAGGCUUCUCAGCUCUUUCGCCCGGUAGGACUUUGGCUCCUGCCCCGGAACCCCGGCAACAGCUGUCCAGUGCCAGGUGUGCAUGUGCCGCCUCUCGCCCCAGCCGGGGUCCCCUCAGUCCGCUGCUGGCGUCCCCUUCCCCUCUACCGCCCGCGAGUCCUCUCCUCCCGAGCUUCCUCUCCUUGGCCGGCCGCCGGCCCGUCCCCGCCCCUGGGCUGGCUGUGUCCCGGGCGGGCGGGGUCUGCGAACCCGGAUGGGGCGGGCGGCUGGGGCUGGGGAUGGCCUUCGAGCGGGGCUGCAGCCCGCGUCCCCCACCCCGCUUUCCCUGCCCCGCGACCCCGGGGCUGCCCUCCUCUCCCUUUCCCGAUCCCUGCGGUCCAGCUCAGUGGCGUCUGCGCUGCUCCCCCGGCUGAGAGCCUCCAGCUGUAAACCCCAGCUUCUCCCGGUGGAGUCGGGAAAAGGGAGUGUCAGUGCUGAGCGAGCUUCCGUCUCCUCCCUCAGUGUUUCUGCCCCAGAAUCUGGGAAGCAGGAGCAAGGAACUCAAGGAGAGAUCCAUGAAGACAUCUGACUGUGUUAAGAGACGACAGUCACAGCCACACGGGGAGCGAGGACACUUGCAGCAAAGUAAAACGACUUCACAACUAUUGCAUCAGAACUGCAGGUGUGAGAGAGCCUAAGCCUGUUUCAGAGUGCAGGGGACAAGAGGAAAGUAAUGUGUAAGAAUGCAGGUGACUCAGAAGCAUGCAUCCAAGCCGUCCUUCCGUGUCAUCACCAUCUAGAAGCGGUGCCUGAAUCUUCUGAAUUUCUCCAGAAUGUGGUUCACAAUCACCUUCGACAACGUUCCGAGGAGAGAAUUCAGCAGUGCAGCAUCCUCUUCGAGCUCUAUGAGUUGAUGGGCUGCCACUGCAAAUCCGCCUUCUUCAAGCGGGUGGACCCCGUGCAGCGCGCGGCCCCCGGCAUCCCGGAGCCUGGCGGGAAGAGCUGCUACCGACUCCUUCUGCAGACGCUUCCUGGCUACAGUCUGUCGCUGAUUCUGCAGGACUUCAGCAAAGGUGUUGGAACUAAAACAUCGCUUCAGUCCCAUUAACCAUGCCUGGUUUGGGCCCUGCUGUCCUGUCUCAUCAGGGUGAAUUGUGAUUCGUUUAGAACAUGGCUCAGCAGACUUUUUCUGUCAAGGGCUUGGGAGUCAAUAUUUCAGGGUCUGCAAAACUCCUGAUCUCUGGUGCAGCUGCUCAGCUCUGCUGUUCAGACGCCAGAGCAGCCGGACAAUCCACACACCCACAGAGCUUUAUUAACAGCGGUGGCUGGGGCUGGAUUGGGUGUAUGAACAGCAGUUUGUCCCCACAGCCUCCUCACUAUUGACGCCUGCACCAGAGCGUACAUUUGCGACAAUGGGUGAACCUGCACUGACACGUCAUCAUCACCCAGAGCCCAGAUUUGACACUAGGAUUUACAUUUGGUGGUGUGCACUCUGUGGGUUUGGACAGAUGUACAAUGACAUGUAUCCACCGUCACAACAUCAUACAGAGUAGUCUGUCUUAGUGACCCUAAAAAUGCUCCGUGCUGCACCUCAUUCAUUGCUCCUUCCCGUCUAGCCUCUGACAGCCACUGAUCUUUUAGUCUCUGUGGUUUUGCCUUUCCCAGAACACCAUACAGUUGGAAUCAGACAGUUGCACAACCUUCCCAGAUUGGCUUCUUUCACUUAGUAAUAUGCAUUUAAGGUUCCUCCAUGUCUUUCCAUGCCUUGAUAACUCAUUUCAUUUUAGCACCAAAUAAUGGUCCAUUCUCUGGCUGGACCACAGUUUAUUUAUCCAUUCACCCACUGAAGUACAGCUUAGUUGCUUCUGAGUUCUGGUGAUUAUGAAUAAAGCUGCUAUUAACAUCUGUAUGCAGAUUUGUGUGUGGACACAAGUUUCCAUUUCGUCGAGUAAACACCAAGGAGCACAGUUGCCGGAUCAUAUGGUAGGAGUAUGUCUAGUUUUGUAAAAAAUUGCCAGACCGUCUUCCAAAGUAUCUGGGCCAUUUUACAUUCCCAACAACAAUGCAUGAGAAUUCCUGAUGCUCCACAUCCUCACCAGCAUUCGGUGCUGUCAGUGUUCUGCGGUUUGGCAGUUCUGACAGGUGUGCAGUGGUACCUCGCUGUUUCAGUCUGCAUCCCCUUGAUGACAGAUGCUGUGGAGCAUGUUUCCAUAGACUUCUUUGGCAUCUAGAUUUCUUCUUUGAUGAGGUCUGUGUUCAGGCAUUUUGCUCAUUUUUUAAUCAGGUUAUUCAUCCUUCUUGUUGAGUUUAAAGAAAUUUUGGUAUAUUCUGGAUAUCAGUCCUUUAUCAGUGUGUCCCUGCCCUUCACCUGCAGCACCAGAGUUGUCCUUUGGGUCUCAGUGGAGUGUCAGCUCUUCAAAGAGGUUCCCUGUUUUCCUUCAGCCUAAAUAUUGUCCUGGUAUUUUUCACUUUCAUUGACUCAUUUUGUUCUUUUUAAAUAGCAUUUCCCAUAAUUUGUAAGUACAUUAAAAAAAGGGGCAAUGAUUGAACACAGCCUCCCCCACCAGGCUAUGUGCCCUGUGAGAGCAGAGGCCCUGUCCCCACUCACCGUUUCCCAUGACAGCACAUUGCACAUGUCCAUGUAAAAGUGUGUAACGUGGGGCUAAACCUGAUGAGCAGCUAUGACGACAUGUUUUGGCUACCAUUUAUUGAGUAGACUUUGUUUCUGAUAUUAAUUAUUAAAUCACAUGAAUGAAACUUGUUUGUUUUGAAAAAUAAAACAACAAAGCACACUUCCAUGUGAUUGGUACUUUCUACUUAGCCUUCUGACCCAGGAGGGUAUGUUCACCAUCAUUUUGUGGAGGAGUUUGGGGAGGUAAAGUAAGAGAGUGAGAUCAAAUAAAGUAAAAAUGAUAAUUAUCAGUUGGCUUUAUUUUCACUAAGACAUAAAAGUUACUUUAAACCCUAUCUCAGCUGUUGUUCUGUUGUUUUAAACAUUUCUCAUAGAAUUAAAUGGAAGCCCACUAAACCCUGAAAGGGAAAUUGUGUGCUCAGGUCCUAAAAAGUGUUUAUGUCUAUUUCUUGGAAUGCACAAUUUCCCUGCUGGUUACAGAAAGUCGAGGCGGGAACACAGCCGUGCGCUGUGUGUGUCUGCCGGCUUCACGGGCUGCUCACUGUCAUUUUCAUUUUCUUGUGUUGCAGUUUAUGAAGGUUUUCCAUGAGAUAUAUUGCUCAGCCUUUUCCUGAUUGAAGGAUUGAAUUUUCCACAGGAAAUCUUAUGAAAGAGAGUGACAAGGCACAUGGGUUUCCCAAAAAUGAAUAGUUGAUGUAAUAAACUCUCACUAUGGUGAACUUUUUUAAUACAAGCCAGUUGAAAAUUUUAUCACUAGGUCAUAUGCCACAAAUCUGUCUUAAGAAUAAAAAGAUUCAAAUUUUAUAGAAGAAGCAGUUUGAAUCAAGUAAUAAUUAUGAUUUGUACAGUAUUUGGUGUUAGAACUUAUACUCACUCUUAACAUAAUUGCCUGUGGUAGGAACUGGAUCAUUAUUUAUUUAUUAAAAAAAAAUCCACUAGGUGCUAUUUGUCCCAUUCUUGAUGCGGCAGUGCUGAGGUUAGUUAAGUUGGGCCAUUUAGGAUUCUUAGCUAGGAUUUCCGGAUAUUGAUUUCAGCCUUUUUAUCUUUUUUACAAUCUUUUCAUUUGUGUCGGCCUUUGGUCUUUUGACAACGUGGAAAUACUGCACGGAUCUGCCUUUCCCUUUUUUCCUGUCUUUGUGGGAAAAGAUUUCUGUAAGAGAAACUACUAGGAUAUUAAGGAUUUUGUGUGGGGUAAGUUCGGUCAGUUCUAAGGAUUUAAAUUAAUACGUAUUUAAAUUGCUAUUCAGCUAAUGACAGUAAAAUUAUAAACUAACUUAAGUAUACAUCAGUAAGUAUAGUAAAAUAAGCCCAUCACCCAGAUUAAGGAAUUCACAAACUUUUCCAUAUUUCCUUUAUUCAGACCUUUGUCCUUUUAUUUGUCCUUUGUUGAAGUAUUUGACAGCAAAUCCAAGAAGACAUGUCAUUUUACCCUAUGUACUCAAGUAGGCAUGUCUGAGAAAUGAGGGCCUUUUCUUUGAUUAGGUUUUUCCAUUUGACUUAUGUGCUUGUUAAGUACCAGCUGUAUCAGGCAUCUCACUAGGCAUUAGGGAUCCUUGGGGCAAUGAGACAAUCCUGGCUCCCAAGGAAGUUAAGCGCUGAUGGAAGAAACCAACACAGGAGCUUGGGUGCCUCACUUAAGGUCCCUGCUGGAUGACACCAAUUGGACAAAAUUUGUGCACAAUACAGUAGGAUUCACAGAAGGGACUGGUCAGACUUGUAGGGCAGGCAGUGAGAGAGGCGGUCAGCAGGGCUACAAGAGGAGGAAUCAUUUGAUCAGAAUCUGAAAUCCUUUCUGCCAACCUUUCUACCAAGCCCCCAGGGCCCAUCACACACAACCCUGUGCUGUAACUGUUUUUGAUUCCAGUUACCUCAUCUCCUUCAGGAAGGAUUUUAAGGUGGAAAAUAUUUAAAAUCAGUAAUUGUUACCAGAAGGGACAGAGAACAAGGAAAAUGGAAACAACACAAAUGUCCAUCAGCACAUGACUGGAUAAAGACGAGGUGAUACAUAUAUACAAUGGAAUACUACUCAGACAUAAAAGAUGCCAUUUGCAGCAACAUGGAUGGACCUGAAGACUGUCAUUCUAAGUGAAGUGUGGUGGAAAGAGAAAGAAAAACGCCAUAUGACUUCAUUUAUGGGGAAUCUAAAAUUAAUAGCAAUAAUAAUAAGACCACAAAUGAACUAAAUAUUAUUUUGAUUUCUUGAAUAUGUGUAAGUACAUCUGACUGUCCUUUGUGAUUUGAUUACCAUAUUCUGUUUAUUAUUCUUUUGUAGAUGUCCUUAUUCCUCUGGUAACUGUAAUUUUAAAAAUCUAAAGCUCUAAUCUGUUCUUAGAAAGAAUAAUUAGUACAUAUAUGUAAACUAAAAAAUGCAGUAUGCUCUAUACAUGUAUUUACAUGCAAUACGUGUAUGUGAAGUUGAACUGUAAAAAUUCUACCUAAUAAAACUGAAAAAGGAAAAAAAUAAAAAAUUUAUUUAACAAAAUCACCCCUCUUUAGA
Camelus dromedarius (Arabian camel) is the source of this 5167-nucleotide long non-coding RNA. RefSeq lists it as uncharacterized. The transcript has 4 exons. The record is from RefSeq and is a predicted model, not a curated record. Lineage: Eukaryota; Metazoa; Chordata; Mammalia; Artiodactyla; Camelidae.